Molecule: long non-coding RNA, 903 nt
Organism: Protobothrops mucrosquamatus (brown spotted pit viper)
Lineage: Eukaryota; Metazoa; Chordata; Lepidosauria; Squamata; Viperidae
Exons: 2
Source: RefSeq, a predicted model, not a curated record
UGUUAAGGAGAUGAUAAGUAAGAACCAUGCAGAUUUUCUAGAGGCUGCUUUCCCAAACUUCUCCAUAACAGGAAACAAAAAAUUUGCAUCUAAUGGAGCCGAAGCCAAUUAUGAAACUGCCAAAGCCACCUGCUCCAUGUUUGGGGGUCAGCUCGCCUCUCCGAGAAACGGGGAAGAAAACGCCGCUUUAGCAAAACUGGCGUCAAAACUUGGAAAACAUGCUUUUCUUGGGAUGACUGACCUGGAGAGAGAAGGCCAUUUUAAGCACCUCAACGGGGACCAAAUGCAAUACUCACGGUGGGCAAAAGGUGAACCUAAUGGAGAAGAAGAGGAUUGCAUAGAGUUAUACCUGGAUGGCCAGUGGAAUGAUGUGCCCUGCAAUAUAACUCGAUUAAUCGUCUGUGAGUUUCAAUCCAACCAUCCUCCUCUAAACUUGUCGGGGUAGCGAAAAACAGAUUUCCAAAAUCCAGGGCGUUCGCCUAUAACUUCAGAAGAUUUGCCUGGGCAACGGUCAAACAGAUGAACAAGCAUCAGAGCAAUUUUGUGUAAUUUAAUUCAGCUUGGGAAAGCUUACUCUGUUUAUCACAGAUACAGUCUAGCAUAUAGCAAGUAAGUCUUAGUUUCCCCUGUUUUCAGCAAGCAGAUCUGAAGUCAACUUUAUUCUGUUGACUUCGUUCCAACAGAAGUUGGCUUCUUCUAGCAUCUUGGAAUCCUCAGUCCUCCACUGAAGUAGUCAGCAGAUUUGAGGGUGCUUAGCUUUUACGAUCCAUCAUCAGAUAGAUGUUGCCAUAUCUUCCAAGUCUUCUCCAGCUUAGCUUAGCUAGCAAAACUUGCCACGGAAAUGUAACAGCUUUAUAGAUCCAUUUCCCGCCAUUUUAUCAAUAAAUCCAUUUCCCAGCAGCA